This 432-nucleotide ribosomal RNA is filed under the name uncultured bacterium. RNAcentral's name for it is "partial 16S ribosomal RNA". It matches the Rfam family "Bacterial small subunit ribosomal RNA", at positions 29 to 506 of the family's 1533-position model. The record is from RNAcentral.
AACGAACGCUGGCGGCAUGCCUAACACAUGCAAGUCGAGCGAGCACUUCGGGUCUCGUGGCGCCCGGGUGCGUAGCGCGUCGGAACCUGCCCUCAGGUUCGGCAUAACUCCCCGAAAGGGGUGCUAAUACCAGAUAAUAUCUUCGAACCAAAGAUUUAUCGCCUUUCGAUGGGCCCGCGUUGGAUUAGCUAGUUGGUAGGGUAAGAGCCUGCCAAGGCGACGAUCCAUAGCUGGUGUGGAAGAAUGAUAAGCAACACUGGAACUGAGACACGACCCAGACUCCUACGGGAGGCAGCAUGGGGGAAGAUGGAAAAAUGGGCGAAAGCCUGAUCCAGCAUGGCCGCAGGAGGGAUGAAGGCCUUAGGGUGGUAAAGCUCUUUUACCCGGAAUGAUAAGAACAGAACCGGGAGAAUAAGCCCCGGCUACCUCGGU